AUGCACAUCAGCGUCCACGUUGAGGUCUCCAAUCCCGUGCUCAACUUCGAGUGCUCGGCUUGGCCCAAGGUGAUGGAUGUGGAGAGAGUCUUCCCCGUCCGGCGCACUGGGCUAACGCCUGAGCUCCUCCACCACCGCCGCUCCCUACUGCCCGUGCCCGCAUCACCAUCGAGCAUUAGCUCCCGACAUCGACAUCGACGUCGCCAUGAAGGCCGCCGCCACUGCCGCCGUGCAGUGCGAGGCCAAGCCCGACCCGGAGCUGGUGCACGGAGAGCUCGUGCUAAAGUCCGACAUGGUGUACAGCGAGCAGGCCGCCGGAGCUCCUCUGCUUCCCUCGCAUGCACAAGAGGUAUUUGUUGA
This 360-nucleotide ribosomal RNA is filed under the name Triticum aestivum (bread wheat). RNAcentral describes it as "partial small subunit ribosomal RNA". The record is from RNAcentral. Lineage: Eukaryota; Viridiplantae; Streptophyta; Magnoliopsida; Poales; Poaceae.